RNAcentral lists this ribosomal RNA (699 nucleotides) under Salmonella enterica subsp. enterica serovar Richmond. RNAcentral describes it as "partial 23S ribosomal RNA". It matches the Rfam family "Bacterial large subunit ribosomal RNA", at positions 1 to 741 of the family's 2925-position model. Lineage: Bacteria; Pseudomonadati; Pseudomonadota; Gammaproteobacteria; Enterobacterales; Enterobacteriaceae. The record is from RNAcentral.
GUUAAGCGACUAAGCGUACACGGUGGAUGCCCUGGCAGUCAGAGGCGAUGAAGGGCGUGCUAAUCUGCGAUAAGCGCCGGUAAGGUGAUAUGAACCGUUAUAACCGGCGAUACCCGAAUGGGGAAACCCAGUGUGAUUCGUCACACUAUCAUUAACUGAAUCCAUAGGUUAAUGAGGCGAACCGGGGGAACUGAAACAUCUAAGUACCCCGAGGAAAAGAAAUCAACCGAGAUUCCCCCAGUAGCGGCGAGCGAACGGGGAGGAGCCCAGAGCCUGAAUCAGCAUGUGUGUUAGUGGAAGCGUCUGGAAAGGCGCGCGAUACAGGGUGACAGCCCCGUACACAAAAGCGCAUGUGCUGUGAGCUCGAUGAGUAGGGCGGGACACGUGGUAUCCUGUCUGAAUAUGGGGGGACCAUCCUCCAAGGCUAAAUACUCCUGACUGACCGAUAGUGAACCAGUACCGUGAGGGAAAGGCGAAAAGAACCCCGGCGAGGGGAGUGAAAAAGAACCUGAAACCGUGUACGUACAAGCAGUGGGAGCACAGGUUUACCUGUGUGACUGCGUACCUUUUGUAUAAUGGGUCAGCGACUUAUAUUCUGUAGCAAGGUUAACCGUAUAGGGGAGCCGUAGGGAAACCGAGUCUUAAUUGGGCGUUAAGUUGCAGGGUAUAGACCCGAAACCCGGUGAUCUAGCCAUGGGC